This 253-nucleotide ribosomal RNA is filed under the name uncultured prokaryote. RNAcentral's name for it is "partial 16S ribosomal RNA". It matches the Rfam family "Bacterial small subunit ribosomal RNA", at positions 525 to 777 of the family's 1533-position model. The record is from RNAcentral.
ACGGGGGGUGCGAGCGUUGUCCGGAAUCACUGGGCGUAAAGGGCGCGUAGGUGGCUUGGUAAGCGUGUGGUGAAAGUCCGGGGCUCAACCCCGGAUCUGCCGUGCGAACUGCUGAGCUCGAGCAAUGUAGAGGCAGGUGGAAUUCCCAGUGUAGCGGUGAAAUGCGUAGAUAUUGGGAAGAACACCGGAGGCGAAGGCGGGUUGCUGGGCCGACACUGACGCUGAGGCGCGAAAGCCAGGGGAGCGAACGGGA